Long non-coding RNA from Neopsephotus bourkii (Bourke's parrot), 2904 nucleotides. RefSeq lists it as uncharacterized. NCBI's taxonomy places the organism in Eukaryota, Metazoa, Chordata, Aves, Psittaciformes, Psittacidae. The record is from RefSeq and is a predicted model, not a curated record. The transcript has 3 exons.
UCACCCCCAAAUCCAGCUGCUUUCAGGCAAAAAAACAAAAGGUGGGGAUGAAGCUGCACCCCUCGCUCUACCCACCUCCCUUUGUGUUUCCUAAGCCCAUGAAACUGGGUGCGGAAGGGAGUUCCCUACCCCAGAAAUUUAAGGAUCAGGUUGGUUGUGCCGACUCUGUGCCAGCCAGUUUCUGUAAGUGGACGGUGCAUGAAAAGCCCCUUUGAGAAGCUCUAAUCACCAGCGUAACCAACAUGAAAAGUUGCUUCUGGAAAAAGUGCUUUCUUCCUGCCUUUUAACAGCCAACUGCAGGGUGUUCCUGGUACAGCACAAAUAUUUUCAACAGGCUAAAUAAUUAUCUUUAAUUAGUUUUCAUUAGGGUGAUGCCAAUCCACCCCUCUCUUUGGAAACUCGCUUAGCUCCUGAAAUGGCUUGAAAACAAUGAAGCAGGGAAAAUACUCUGCUCGAGCUGCAUUCAUUUCCAUCCACCACAGGAAAGAAAGGGACCACCAGACCCUUUGGGCUUUGCAAAGGAGGCUGGAGUGAGUUUAAAAUAGUUGGUCUCUGUGAUUUGUUUUCAUUUUCACUUCCAGAGCAAAAGCUAAUGCUGGGAUUGCUCUCUGUUCUUCACUAUCCAGAGGCAACGGCAUCACAACCCCGGUCCUUCAGUGAUGUUUUCUCCUGGGCCACAUUCCCACCGUGGCUUGUGGCCAUCAGGACCACCACAGCGGCAGAGGCGAGCCUGGGGCAGCAGCACGGGAGUCUGCAUCUCCUCCUGUGCUAACAGGGUGCAGGCAGUUCUUAUCACAUCCCUGUGUGUCUUCCUGGCCCUGACCUGCUCCAUAAGCAGAGGAAGGAUGGGGAGGUGAUUGCCUGUGGUCUGUGUUGAGUGCCAGCACAGAUAACAGCCUGGCAUUGUCAGGUUUUUGGCUCUGGCAUGCAAAGCUCAAUACAUAGGUGAGGUGAGCGUUUUGAGCAGUGGGGUGUAGUUGCCUGGUGCGCAAUGCUUAACCAAAACACAUCUCUGUUGCUCCAUCUCCAUGUCAGGAGUGCAUGUGCACCCCCUGCACAUUCUCCACCAGCUGGGUAGGAUACAGGCACGAUUGGGCCAGACCAGGUCCAGGAUCACAUUUCUGGAUAGGGCCAGCACCAGCAGACACUGGGAGAUGGGACCAGAAAGCACAAGAACCCCAUGGCAUGUAGGCAUGGAAGGUACCCACCUUGGUCAUUGAAAGCCACCAGAUGUCCUGCUGGGGAGACAGAAGGGUGUCUGUGUUAUAUUGUCUGCACCAUCAAGCUGGCAUGAACACAGCUGUUGUGGAUCCUUGGUCCUCACUUGCUCUAUCUACUACUGUGUAAUUGGUUUCCAUUUCCACCUUAAAUCUACAGUGCUUGUUUCCAAAUGAUGUGUUUUCACACUGAUUUCCUGAAGUUCUGGGGUGGUUUUUUUUGUCUCAUUUCUACUAUUUCUGCAUACAGCCACCUCUUGGUCUGGUCCUGGUCCAAACCCUGUCAGUGAUAAGGGGAAAUUCCCCAUCAGACAGAGGAAACCAUCCCAGCAUUCCAGGCAGACUUUCCAAAGUAUUUUUAAUGAAGGGCACACACCCUCUGAGCCCGAUGAGUGUCCUGUUUACCUUUCCUCAUGGACUCUGCAGGCUGCAGGAGAAGGGGGGAGAUGUCCUGGCAUCAGCUGGCCUGAGGAAAAGGGGAAUUACUCUGGGAAUGUUUGAAGGAAGACCCUGUCCUGGCACUUCGCUGAGUCAGGAGGAUGCCAGCAGCAGAGCAGGGACGUUAAUCUGAACUUGUGCUCCCUGCCAACAGCCAGUGCCAGCAACCUCUGCGGGAAAGUGAGCAAGGAACCUGCUUUCUGCUGCUUGGAUGCACCAAGUGAUACCUGCACUGUGGUUUGUGGAAGCAGAGGGGUUCUGGGUUAGUCUUAAUUUCUCGUGGCAUCUUCCUCUCCCACCGCUUCUGCUUCGUUUGUGCCCAGACUGAGUUUGAGUUGGUGCCGUUCAUCUGAGGGCAAAUCUCCUGAUGGGACUGGAAAAGUAGUUGGGUCUCCAGGUGCUUGUAAGACCCUCAAUGCAAGGGCCUCUGGGGAUGGGAGGAGGUAGCCUGAGUCAUGAGAGAGGAACUGCUACUCCACCUAUUCCUCGCUUGGUCUAGCAGGGGAGACAGCUCAAUCCCAGAGAUCCAGCCUACAAGCGAUGAGUCAGCCAUUGUCCAGAGAGUCUCCAUGGGACAAACAUCAUCACGUCUUUCCUUGGCUAUCUCCUCAGCAAAUUCAUCCUUCAGCUGGCCUGGCAGCUUCUCCUCCUGUUUUGUUUGCCGCCUCUUGGUCGCAAAGUGCUGUCACUGGAAGGGGAAGUGUUGAUGAUGCCUCUCAGUCUAUUCUACCUAAUUUUAAACCUUUGUAAAAGGGUUUCCUUUUCUGUCUUUGUGGCUUCAUUGUGUUCUGUGAUAAAUUAGGAAUAGAAAAAGUCACAUGAGGAAAGCUGUUGUCUGAUAUUUGGUGCCAUGGUGAGAUGCACUAUUGUUGUGAUGAAGACCUUGUGCCAGAGCAGCCCUGUUCUACUGUUGGUCAUCCUCUCUGCAAGAGACAGGAAGCAGUUCCCAGAACUGGCUUGACACUGCUGUGACCUGGGCCAACUGCUGUCCUUGCAAAAGAAAGAAAAGUGAAGCCAGAGGUCAAACAACAGGAACAGGCAUUGAGGAAAUGAUCCCUCGCUGAAAUUAAUGAACUCGCAGGAUAACAUGCCAUUCAGGGUGAGUCACUGCUUUUCCUUUCAUGGUGCUGAGGGGAGCACGAGGCUGUGGGGUUUCUGGGCAUCAGGGAAGAAGGGGUCUGUGCCAAAUGGGGUGAGGAUUUCAGUGGUUCCUCACCAAAAGAAAGACUCAAGAAGUGAUGGCUUGACA